This 253-nucleotide ribosomal RNA is filed under the name uncultured bacterium. Its description in RNAcentral is "partial 16S ribosomal RNA". It matches the Rfam family "Bacterial small subunit ribosomal RNA", at positions 524 to 776 of the family's 1533-position model. The record is from RNAcentral.
UACGGGGGGGGCAAGCGUUGUUCGGAAUUACUGGGCGUAAAGGGCUCGUAGGCGGCCAACUAAGUCGGAUGUGAAAUCCCCAGGCUUAACCUGGGAACUGCAUCCGAUACUGGAUGGCUUGAAUCCGGGAGAGGGAUGCAGAAUUCCAGGUGUAGCGGUGAAAUGCGUAGAUAUCUGGAGGAAUACCGGUGGCGAAGGCGGCAUCCUGGACCGGCAUUGACGCUGAGGCGCGAAAGCAUGGGUAGCGAACAGG